AAAUGUGACAGGAAGUUGAAAUGAACCCUGCGCCCUUCCAGAGUUACCUGACAGUUAGCUUACCAAAAGAAAAAAAAAAAAAAAAAAGACAUGGGAAAAGGUGUAUAUUUGAUGAAGACUGACACAGUGUAUGGACCAACAAAAAGGAGGCCAGAGGAGACAGUUGGAACCGAGGUGAGCGCAACAAGUGGGGAGAGUAAGUUCAGCGAUGACAGACGUCCAUAGGUGCCGGGGAAGCUAACACCUCGGCGGCUAGCAUCGGUCAGGUGCAGCCGGGCAACCCUUCUCCUUCUCCUCCUCCUCCUGCUGCUGCUCUGCCAGGACCACUUGGCUACUGUCAGCCCCGACUCUGGAUGAUACUGUGAUGGACAAACUUAGACCAAGUAUACCUCCAGAGUUACUCAGUCCACGUUUGCAAAGGAAAUGCACUCAUUGGUGAGUGCGUGAUUUCAGGCGGGACUGGCUGGAAUGAAGUCGGACGCUGGAUGUUAUUUCAAAGGUUAGAUUGUCUGAAAAAAAAAAAAAAAAACAACUUUGAAGACUUAUGCUUCACACGGCGAGGGCCCAGUUAGCGCAGCUGGCUCUCAGAGACCUUACCUGCAAGUGCACUAAUGACUGGAACCAUAUUGGACGCCUGCAGCUGUUUAAAUGGUGAGACAGCUCCACAAAAUGACAAGGUGACAUAGCAGCUACAGAGCCCCAAAAUGGCAUGUCAGUGAGACACAUCAUAUCUGCUAUUAGACAGAAAGCCACCAAAGCUUGACUGACACUGUAGAAGGUCAGCAACGUGCUCAGUACACGAUGCUACAUUUCAGCACACAGACACAACAUGACACGUGGCAGAGGUCCUCCGGCUGGCAGAAAAUCACUUCACCUCGAGGAAAGCGGAUGCGGCGCGGUGGGACAUUGCCAUGGCAGGAGCUAACAUUUGGCCUGUUGGAGCUCUGUUAGGUCGUUAGAAGUUAUCCGGUGCCCGGCUUAGAGUGAUUCGUCUCAGGAUUUAGGGGAUCUGAAGUCAAAGAUGGAGAUAUACACAGGCUUGUGACUGACAACUGGAUUUUUAAACAUGACACAGCAAAUUGGGUUUUUACACUCAGACUCCGGUGCUGGCAUCAUGAUUGAGGUACUAGUUGUUAUUACUUCUGUAUUGGCAGGUUUACUUUCCCCAAAAAACAUUUUUGCUCCCCAUCUGUCUCUCGGUCUGUCUGUCAGACAAAGCCAACUAUUUGUCUCCGAGUCUUUUCUUUUCCUACUUAAAUAGUGAAACUGCUGAGUGCAUUUGAUCAUUCUCAACAAUAAAAAGAAAGAGGAGGAUAGGAAUUAAUUAUCCAUUACUGCAUAGAUUUGAAGAGCAUGGUUCAAGGUUCAAGGCAGCUCUCUCUUUUUUGCUUUCCACCAUCACGGGAGUUUGAAGCCCCUGAAAAUUUCAGAUGAUCUGUAACAUUUAAAUUUGCGUGAGACCUUUGAAAUUACUGCAAAGCAAAGGACUGCUCAUUUUAAAAUCAAGUUGAAUUUUUUCCCUUUGCAAACUUUUUCCUCCCUCAUCACACACGUCUUCAUUUGAAGUUCUGCAGUGCAGUGGAGAUGCGCCUACUUGUACUUAAGUGUCUCUGGUGGAGCCAACUCCACAAACCAAUACUAAUGCUUCCUGGAGCUGCAGAGCAUAUAGUCCAUGUGCAUAUAUUCCUCGAUGACAAAAGAGAGCAGAAAUAGGUUAUUAAUUCGGUCAUACAUUUUUCAGUUCCAGACUCAUGCAGUCUGCACCUACAGCUGAUGGAGACUCUCCCCAGAGGCCCCAGGCUAGAGUUGUUCUAACACUCUUAGGUGUUAUCCUGGCAUCCUUUCAAUGUGAGUUUCUGCAUUGCUGAGUAGAUUUAAACACCUCCUGUCUCUAUUGUCCCUCAAAACAUUCUACAGCUACGUGGUACAGUAUGUAAGUGUAUAGUAUUUAUAUUUUUCAGUGAAACAAUAGUGUAAGGGAGUCUGUAAAGGAAAGACUUGAGACGAUGAAGACUUUAAGGUUAAAUUUAGUUUUCAGAUGUUAACAUAGUCAGGCCUUCAGGGAUAUGCCUGUCGUUCAUUUAUAUUUCUCUUAAUGUCUACAAAUCCCAUAAAAAGACAAAAAACUGACAGUGUGUUAUUCUGUCUCUCAAUACUGUCUGACUGGUUCCUACUGAAGAAACAAAUAUUUAAAGGAAUAGUCCUAUAUUUUUGGAAAUAUGCUUGUUCACAUUGUUGCCCAGUGUUAGAAAAGAAGAUGGAUACCACUUCCUCUCGAUAUGAAGCUGCAGCCAGCAGCUGGUUAGCGUAGCUUAGCAUUAAGACUGGAAAUGGGUGGGAAACAGCUUACUUUUGCAUGCAACCGCUCUUUAAUUUAAAGAAAAGGCUUAAUAUUUUCCUAAAUCAACUGGAGACGGUUGUAUUUAGCAAACAUUACUCAAACAGUAAAAUAGUGCAUUUAUUUGGGGCAAUGUCUGUCACUUUUUCAAAAAGUUAAAGUUGAAUGGUUUCAAACUCCUUCCAUAUACUGUAUCCCACCCGUAUAUUGUAUAUAUUUUCCCAUAUGCAUUUGUACACCUAGGCCGCAUAUCCGUGCUUAUAAAUCUUACUAUCUCACCAGAGAUGGCCUUUUAACGAGCAUCAAGACUCCUGAGGAUUAAUGUGGCAAAAAGUAGGCAGUGAGAUGAGGUUGUACAUUUGACGUUCCCGUUGUUUCUGGUGCCUCCCAAUGCUUGACUUUGGUGGCAAGCGAGCAGGUGAGUCUUCAGAUUUGUAGUCGUUAUACAGUACGGCAGCGCUUUUUACAAAGUCUGCAAAUUGCCUUAUCCUUGUAGGUAACUUUGCAAAGAACCCCAAAUACUUCCACACCAAUCACAAGGCAGACUACUUCAAAUGGUCUAAUUCAGUCAUAGAUUGAAAAUUUAGAAAUUGAACAGGUCAUUACAAAAUUUUGAAUAAAUAGCUACAGUCCUAUUGGGGACUAUUUUCAGCCGCAGAUUAAUACAGAUUUGAUGCCGUAGUGAGUAUUUACAGCAGCAGGAUGGUGUAUUUGGGACUGAGUCAAAAUAAACUAUAGUACCACGUUCAUUAUGAAGGAGCACAGAAGCAGUUGCUAUGAUGUGGCUCAUUGACAUGUUUUUAAUAGUUUCUGGACAACAAUGAACACAGUGGCACAGAGGAAUAAUUUAUAUCAGGCUUUGGCUACACAGGCAGUACUUGCUAGUUAGUUCAUUACUGUUCUUUGUUGGUUUUGGUCUUUUAAUGGGAAUUGUUGACAGAAAUAUAUGAAAUAACCCAACGUUAAUACUUUCAUAAUUGUUGCAUCUGCACUAGCUCUCACUAAGGAGUAGUUUCAGUAAAUUACUGUAGUAAAAUAUUCAGCAUGUACCAAAACAGUUGUUUUUAAUUUAUCAUCUUAAUUAUAAGUUUCAGUUUGUGUGACAGUUCAUUUGAAAGCUGAAAAAUAUCCUGUGCCCAUUACAUUUGUAAUUAGCAGAGUCACUCUGUGUUGUUGGGUGUUGAUGUUUUUUAAAAGACUGGCUCAAAAGUAAUUAUACUGAUAGUUGUAUUGAGCACCAUUGAAAGUGGAGGAAAAAAAUUACGAAAAUACAGUUAAUGAUUUAAUUUCC
Molecule: long non-coding RNA, 3629 nt
Organism: Xiphias gladius (swordfish)
Lineage: Eukaryota; Metazoa; Chordata; Actinopteri; Istiophoriformes; Xiphiidae
Exons: 4
Source: RefSeq, a predicted model, not a curated record